This 77-nucleotide transfer RNA is filed under the name Leptocylindrus danicus. Its description in RNAcentral is "tRNA-Pro". It matches the Rfam family "tRNA". Rfam says of the family: Transfer RNA (tRNA) molecules are approximately 80 nucleotides in length. Their secondary structure includes four short double-helical elements and three loops (D, anti-codon, and T loops). The record is from RNAcentral. Lineage: Eukaryota; Bacillariophyta; Leptocylindrophyceae; Leptocylindrales; Leptocylindraceae.
CGGGAUAUAGCGCAGCUUGGUAGCGCACCUGCUUUGGGAGCAGGGGGUCGCAGGUUCAAAUCCUGCUAUCCCGACCA